This 27-nucleotide non-coding RNA is filed under the name Cricetulus griseus (Chinese hamster). The record is from RNAcentral. Lineage: Eukaryota; Metazoa; Chordata; Mammalia; Rodentia; Cricetidae.
CAGUAUUCACCUUGGACCUCCACAAGC